Molecule: ribosomal RNA, 254 nt
Filed under: uncultured bacterium
Lineage: Bacteria
Description: partial 16S ribosomal RNA
Rfam family: Bacterial small subunit ribosomal RNA
Source: RNAcentral
UACGUAGGGUCCAAGCGUUGUCCGGAUUUAUUGGGAGUAAAGAGUUCGUAGGCGGCUUAGUAAGUUGGAUGUGAAAACUCGGGGCUCAACCCCGAGACGCCAUCCGAUACUGCUGUGGCUUGAGUCUGGUAGGGGAACACGGAAUUCCUGGUGUAGCGGUGAAAUGCGCAGAUAUCAGGAGGAACACCGAUGGCGAAGGCAGCUCGCUGGGACGUAACUGACGCUGAGACGCGAAAGCGUGGGGAGCAAACAGG